GGAGCCGUAGCGAAAGCGAGUUUUAACUGAGCGUUCAGUUACUUGACGUAGACCCGAAACCGGGCGACCUACCCAUGAGCAGGCUGAAGCGAAAGUAAAAUUUCGUGGAGGUCCGAACCCACGAGCGUUGAAAAGCCCGGGGAUGACUUGUGGGUAGCGGAGAAAUUCCAAUCAAGCCCGGAGAUAGCUUGUUCUCCCCGAAAUAGCUUUAGGGCUAGCCUCAAGGUGAGAGAUACGGAGGUAGAGCACUGAAAGUCCUAGUGGGUAUUGCACCUACCGAAGACUAUCAAACUCCGAAUGCCGUCAUCUUAUACUUGGGAGUCAGACUGUGGGUGAUAAGAUUCAUAGUCGAAAGGGCAACAGCCCAGAUCGUCAGCUAAGGUCCCUAAAUGUAAGUUAAGUGGUAAAGGAUGUGGGAUUGCACAGACAACCAGGAUGUUGGCUUAGAAGCAGCCACUCAUUCAAAGAGUGCGUAAUAGCUCACUGGUCGAGUGAUCCUGCGCCGAAGAUUUCCGGGGCUAAAACUUACUACCGAAGCUACGGCAUCAGUAAUGAUGGGUAGGGGAGCUUCCCAUACGGGUUGAAGCAUGACCGUAAGGACAUGUGGACAGUAUGGGAGUGAGAAUGUUGGCAUGAGUAGCGAGAUGUGGGUGAGAAUCCCACAGGCCGUAAACCCAAGG
This 680-nucleotide ribosomal RNA is filed under the name Clostridioides difficile. RNAcentral's name for it is "bacterial LSU rRNA". It matches the Rfam family "Bacterial large subunit ribosomal RNA", at positions 662 to 1350 of the family's 2925-position model. Lineage: Bacteria; Bacillati; Bacillota; Clostridia; Peptostreptococcales; Peptostreptococcaceae. The record is from RNAcentral.